UAUUCCUACGGGAGGCAGCAGUAGGGAAUCUUCCGCAAUGGACGAAAGUCUGACGGAGCAACGCCGCGUGAACGAUGAAGGCCUUCGGGUCGUAAAGUUCUGUUGUUAGGGAAGAACAAGUACCAGAGUAACUGCUGGUACCUUGACGGUACCUAACCAGAAAGCCACGGCUAACUACGUGCCAGCAGCCGCGGUAAUACGUAGGUGGCAAGCGUUGUCCGGAAUUAUUGGGCGUAAAGCGCGCGCAGGCGGUUUCUUAAGUCUGAUGUGAAAGCCCACGGCUCAACCGUGGAGGGUCAUUGGAAACUGGGGAACUGAGGCAGAAGAGAGAGCGAUUGCCU
RNAcentral lists this ribosomal RNA (341 nucleotides) under bacterium. RNAcentral's name for it is "bacterial SSU rRNA". It matches the Rfam family "Bacterial small subunit ribosomal RNA", at positions 334 to 667 of the family's 1533-position model. The record is from RNAcentral. RNAcentral also lists the same sequence under 1 other name.